Lemur catta (Ring-tailed lemur) is the source of this 4627-nucleotide RNA transcript. It is a transcript of the gene named ring finger protein 40, with no coding region annotated. The record is from RefSeq and is a predicted model, not a curated record. Lineage: Eukaryota; Metazoa; Chordata; Mammalia; Primates; Lemuridae. The transcript has 21 exons.
UCGCCACAUCCGGCUCUGCCUCUGGCGCCUGCGCCCUGUGCCCGGGAGGCCGGUGACGUCCGGGGAAAUCGAAGAUGGCGGCGCUAGGCUGACCCUCCUGCGGGUGACGGAAGCGCCGUCUCCUACCGCCUGACGUCCCUGGGGGACCCUGCGCCGCUCCUCGCUGCCGCGGCCAUGUCUGGGCCCGGCAACAAACGCGCCGCCGGCGACGGGGGCUCAGGGCCCCCGGAGAAGAAGCUGAGUCGCGAGGAGAAGACCACAACCACUCUUAUAGAGCCCAUUCGUCUUGGAGGCAUCUCUUCCACGGAAGAGAUGGACCUGAAGGUACUGCAGUUCAAGAAUAAGAAGCUGGCAGAGCGGUUGGAACAGCGACAGGCCUGUGAAGAUGAACUCCGAGAGCGAAUUGAGAAGUUGGAGAAGCGGCAGGCCACAGAUGAUGCCACACUCCUUAUUGUAAAUCGAUACUGGGCCCAGCUGGAUGAAACUGUGGAAGCCCUUCUCCGAUGCCAUGAGAGCCAGGGAGAACUGUCUUCGGGGACAGAGGCGCCUGGGACCCAGGAGGGGCCAGCACGUGAUGGGACCCCUCUCAUAGAGCCAGGGACAUCAGAGCUGAGGGAGCCUCUGCCAAUGCAGCUGCGGCCCCCUCUCAGUGAGCCAGCCUUGGCUUUUGUGGUAGCAUUGGGUGCCAGCAGCAGUGAGGAGGUGGAGCUGCAGCUGCAAGGCCGUAUGGAGUUCUCCAAGGCAGCUGUGUCCCGUGUGGUAGAGGCCUCAGACCGCCUACAGCGCCGCGUGGAGGAACUCUGUCAGCGAGUAUACAGUCGAGGGGAAAAUGAGCCCCUUGGUGAGGUGGCUCGGGCACGCACCCGAGAGCUGGGCCGUGAGAACCGGCGGCUACAGGACUUGGCCACCCAGCUGCAGGAGAAGCAUCACCGCAUCUCCUUGGAGUACUCCGAGCUCCAGGAUAAAGUGACAUCAGCAGAGACCAAGGUGCUGGAGAUGGAGACGACAGUGGAGGACCUGCAGUGGGACAUUGAGAAGCUGCGCAAGCGGGAGCAAAAGCUCAAUAAGCACCUGGCAGAAGCCUUGGAGCAGCUUAACUCUGGCUACUAUGUCUCUGGGAGCUCCUCCGGCUUCCAGGGGGGCCAGAUCACACUCAGCAUGCAGAAGUUUGAGAUGCUGAAUGCAGAGUUGGAGGAAAACCAGGAAUUGGCCAACAGCCGCAUGGCAGAACUGGAGAAGCUGCAGGCUGAACUUCAGGGUGCUGUGCGGACCAAUGAGCAUCUCAAGGUGGCUCUGCGGAGCCUUCCUGAGGAGGUGGUGCGGGAGACGGGGGAGUACCGCAUGCUGCAGGCCCAGUUCUCGCUGCUCUACAAUGAGUCUCUGCAAGUGAAGACCCAGCUGGAUGAGGCUCGGGGGCUACUGUUGGCCACCAAGAACUCCCACCUGAGACACAUUGAGCACAUGGAGAGUGACGAGCUAGGGCUGCAGAAGAAGCUGCGCACAGAGGUCAUCCAGCUGGAGGACACGCUGGCCCAGGUACGCAAGGAGUACGAGAUGCUGCGCAUCGAGUUUGAGCAGAACCUGGCAGCCAACGAGCAGGCGGGGCCCAUAAACCGUGAGAUGCGCCACCUGAUUAGUAGUCUCCAAAACCACAACCACCAGCUGAAGGGGGAUGCCCAGCGAUAUAAGCGGAAGCUUCGAGAAGUGCAGGCUGAGAUUGGCAAGCUCCGAGCCCAGGCUAGUGGCUCUGCCCACUCCAUCCCCAACCUGGGACACCCAGAAGACUCUGGCCUCAGUGCCUCAGCCCCAGGGAAAGAGGAGGGUGGGCCAUGCCCUGUUGGUACCCCCGAAAGCAGAAAGGAGGUGGCUUCAAUGCCUGGCACCACCACUACUCCUUCCUCAGUGAAGAAGGAGGAGCUGGUCCCCUCCGAAGAGGAUGGGGCAUUAACCCCUGGGGCCCAGGGCCCUUCCUCCCGGGGCCGAGAACCUGAAGCCAGGCCGAAGCGGGAGCUUCGGGAACGAGAAGGACCUGGCCUGGGACCCCCACCUGUAGCCUCAACUCUCUCAAGGGCUGAUCGGGAGAAGGCCAAGGUGGAAGAGGUCAAGAGGAAGGAGUCAGAACUCCUCAAGGGUCUCCGAGCAGAGCUCAAGAAGGCCCAGGAAAGCCAGAAGGAGAUGAAGCUCCUGCUGGAUAUGUACAAGUCAGCGCCCAAGGAACAGCGGGAUAAGGUGCAGCUCAUGGCAGCAGAACGCAAGGCCAAGGCUGAGGUUGAUGAGCUACGAAGCCGAAUCCGGGAAUUGGAGGAGAGGGAUCGAAGGGAGAGCAAGAAGAUUGCAGAUGAGGAUGCCCUGCGGCGCAUUCGUCAGGCAGAGGAGCAGAUAGAACACCUACAGCGCAAGUUGGGUGCCACCAAGCAGGAGGAGGAGGCUUUGCUGUCGGAGAUGGAUGUCACAGGUCAGGCUUUUGAGGACAUGCAGGAGCAAAACGGGCGGCUGCUGCAGCAGUUGCGGGAAAAAGAUGAUGCCAACUUUAAGCUGAUGUCAGAGCGGAUCAAGGCCAACCAGAUUCACAAGCUACUGCGGGAGGAGAAGGAUGAGCUGGGCGAGCAGGUUCUUGGCCUCAAGUCCCAGGUGGAUGCCCAGCUGCUGACCGUGCAGAAGCUGGAGGAAAAAGAGCGGGCCUUGCAGGGCAGCCUCGGGGGUGUGGAGAAGGAGCUGACGCUGCGCAGCCAAGCCCUGGAGCUCAACAAGAGGAAGGCUGUUGAAGCAGCCCAGCUGGCCGAGGACCUGAAGGUACAGCUGGAGCAUGUGCAGACUCGACUACGAGAGAUUCAGCCCUGCCUAGCAGAGAGUCGGGCUGCUCGUGAAAAAGAGAGCUUCAACCUCAAGAGGGCUCAGGAGGACAUCUCACGGCUGCGGCGCAAGCUGGAGAAGCAGAGGAAGGUGGAGGUUUAUGCAGAUGCUGAUGAAAUCCUCCAGGAGGAGAUCAAGGAGUACAAGGUUUCUGGCUGAAGAGGAGAGAGGAGCCCAGUGGGUGGAAUCCAGCCCUUCCCAAGGCCAAGAUUGGGCGGUGUCAUCCAACCUCAGAGGGCUCCAGGACACAUGGACCAACCUGGAGAGGUACCAGAUCACCCCUGGGAACAAGUGCUCUCCUGUAGCCUCAGGCUGGGAAAGGAGGUGAAGACCGAGGGAGGGAAGUAUUAUAUUGUCACACUAGUUAAAACACAUAAACAAACCCGGUAACCUUUCAAAACACUUGAAGCCUGAGUCCACCACUGGCGUAACACAAAGAACCUAAAUUGUGCCUGUAAAACAGUGAGGUCCAAACUCCCAGAGGGCCUGGCCCUAUGGAAAACCAGCCUUUCUGCCCCCUGCACAAGGUUCUCGCAUUCUCACAUGGUACCACAGCAGUCUACACCGCCCCACCCCUGUCACAGCGAGGACCAUCCUGCUUCUGGGCCUUUAACUGAGCCAUGCCUCCCUCUACCUCCUCUAGAGCACUUCCUCUUCUGCUCUCUGCUUAGGCAAGUCUUGUUUGUCUUUCAAGGUCCUGCUCAAAUGCCAGCCAACUUAAGUCUAGGCCCUGGUAUUCACUCACAUUGUAUAAAUGUUUUACAGCUUAUAAUGUACUUCCAUACAUAUUAAGGCACUUGUUUCUCUUGGCACCUCCAAGAGGCCAGUAGUAUCAUCCUCUUUUGACUCAUGAGGAAAUAGGACUUCAGACAGGUCAGAUAACACGUCUGAGGUCACAGAGCAACUGUAAAACCUUAGGCUCUGGGGGUCUUGGAUUUUUUGAUUCCAGGUCUGGGGCUUUCCCUGCCUUCAAAAUCCAGCUGAGUCCUACUUCUUCCAUGAAGCCUUCCCUGACUACAGAGUCUCCUAGAUAACCGUUCUCAUCUUUGCCAUGGUCUGACUGCAGGAUUCCCAAGUCUUACUCACCAUCUUUGCCACAUCUGGGUACAUUCUGUGCUGUUAUUUAUUUGACAUUUUUCUUCAUUUGGACUCAUUUUUCUCAACUGAGAGAAACAUAUCUAAGAAGGAAACUCAAUAUCAGUAUGAUAAACAGAAAAUUGCUCGUUAUAAAUGAUGAUUAUAAAAAUAAGUACAAUGCUAAAUUAACUUAAAAUUGAUUUAAGACCUAAAUUUAAGACUUAAAACUAUACAAUUUUAGGAUAAAACAUAGGGGUAAAUCUUUAUGACCUUAGAUUUGGAAAUGGUUCCUUAGAUAUGAUACAAAAACAAGCAACUGAAGAAAAAAGUAGAUAAACUAGACUUCAUCAAAAUUAAACAAUUUUGUAUAUUAAGGGAAAUUAUCAAGAAAGUGACAAGUCAACCCAAGAAUGGGAGGAAAUAUUAGCAAACCACAUAUCUGACCAGGGUCUGGGAUCCUGACUGUAUAAAGAACUCUUAAACAGAACAACAGAAAGACAACUCAAUUAACAACAGGCAAAGGAUGUGAAUGGACAUUUCUCCAAAGAAGAUAUACGAAGAAGAUAUGGAGACCUAUGUCCACACAAAAACUUGUUCAUGCAGAUUGCUGCCAGCACCAUUCCCAAUAGCCAAAAGGUGGAAACCACCCAAAUGUCCAUCAGUGGAUAAACAAAUUAUGGUAUCUCCUGUAUUCUUU